Long non-coding RNA from Micropterus dolomieu (smallmouth bass), 246 nucleotides. RefSeq lists it as uncharacterized. The record is from RefSeq and is a predicted model, not a curated record. The transcript is spliced from 2 exons. Lineage: Eukaryota; Metazoa; Chordata; Actinopteri; Centrarchiformes; Centrarchidae.
UGCAGGCGUAGGCUCAAUCAGUUUGUAAUCAGACAAAUAAUCUUCAUGCAGCAUCUCUAAGUGUUUGCAAACAGACAGAGAGAAAAGGAAGACUUUUGCUCAUGGCUCUGUAGGGUUAUAAGGGAGUUCGUCAUACCUUGGUGCUACGACGGAUUUCCCAGCGAAGCUUCCACCACAAUGCAUAGCUAUCCACAGAGUCCAAGGCUUGCAUAAUGUUUUUGUUCAUCAAUAAAUCAUUUAAACCUA